GACGAACGCUGGCGGCGUGCCUAACACAUGCAAGUCGAACGAGAUCCAUGGGAGCUUGCUCCCGGAAGAUCUAGUGGCGAACGGGUGAGUAACACGUGAGAAACCUGCCCUGGAGUGGGGAAUAACUCGGGGAAACUCGAGCUAAUACCGCAUACCCUCGGAUGGUCGCAUGGCCGACCGAGGAAAAGAUUUUAUCGCUCUAGGAGGGUCUCGCGGCCUAUCAGCUAGUUGGUGGGGUAACGCCUACCAAGGCAACGACGGGUAGCUGGUUUGAGAGAACGAUCAGCCACACUGGGACUGAGACACGGCCCAGACUCCUACGGGAGGCAGCAGUGGGGAAUCUUGCGCAAUGGGCGAAAGCCUGACGCAGCAACGCCGCGUGCGGGAUGACGGCCUUCGUGGUUGUAAA
This 409-nucleotide ribosomal RNA is filed under the name uncultured bacterium. RNAcentral's name for it is "bacterial SSU rRNA". It matches the Rfam family "Bacterial small subunit ribosomal RNA", at positions 28 to 429 of the family's 1533-position model. The record is from RNAcentral.